GAAUCAUUGGGCGUAAAGCGCCUGUAGGUUGUUUAAUAAGUCCGUUGUUAAAGACUAGGGCUUAACCCUAGGAAAGCGAUGGAAACUGAUAGACUUGAGUAUGGCAGGGGUAGAGGGAAUUUCUAGUGUAGCGGUGAAAUGCGUAGAUAUUAGAAAGAACACCGGUGGCGAAAGCGCUCUACUGGACCAUUACUGACACUGAGAGGCGAAAGCUAGGGGAGCGAAAGGGAUUAGAUACCCCUGUAGUCCUAGCCGUAAACGAUGGAUACUAGAUGUUGUGCAAUUUGGACAGUAUCGUAGCUAACGCGUUAAGUAUCCCGCCUGGGGAGUACGCUCGCAAGGGUGAAACUCAUAGGAAUUGACGGGGGCCCGCACAAGCGGUGGAGCAUGUGGUUUAAUUCGAUGCAACGCGAAGAACCUUACCAGGGCUUGACAUACUACAGAUCUUUUUGAGAAAGAAGAGUGCCUUCGGGAAUGUAGAUACAGGUGGUGCAUGGCUGUCGUCAGCUCGUGUCGUGAGAUGUUGGGUUAAGUCCCGCAACGAGCGCAACCCUCGUUUUUAGUUGCCAAUUUAUUGGGAUCUCUAGAAAGACUGCCGGUGACAAACCGGAGGAAGGUGAGGAUGACGUCAAGUCAGCAUGCCCCUUAUGUCCUGGGCCACACACGUGCUACAAUGGUAAAGACAAAGAGUCGCCAAUUCGCGAGAAUGAGCUAAUCUCAUAAACUUUAUCUAAGUUCGGAUUGUAGGCUGCAAC
RNAcentral lists this ribosomal RNA (755 nucleotides) under uncultured marine haptophyte. RNAcentral describes it as "bacterial SSU rRNA". It matches the Rfam family "Bacterial small subunit ribosomal RNA", at positions 548 to 1311 of the family's 1533-position model. The record is from RNAcentral. Lineage: Eukaryota; Haptophyta.